UCUCCGUUGGUGAACCAGCGGAGGGAUCAUUACCGAGUUUUUCUACUCCCAAACCCCUGUGAACUUAUACCUUUAUUAGUGUUUCGACGGGUUAACGCCCCGGAAUGCCCAAAAAGACGCCGACACCAGUCGCCCUCCGUGGUACCCAAACCCUUGUAUUUCUUACUUUGCUUGUCUGAGUGGAAUCAUAUACAAAUGAAUCAAAACUUUCAACAACGGAUCUCUUGGUUCUG
This 233-nucleotide unclassified non-coding RNA is filed under the name plant metagenome. RNAcentral's name for it is "partial contains small subunit ribosomal RNA, internal transcribed spacer 1, and 5.8S ribosomal RNA". The record is from RNAcentral.